UUACAAGUCUGUUGACUGAAAUAUCUACAUUCCUGUCUUCAUCAGCCACAGUACUUCCUACCACAACCUCAACCACAACAACUACAACAACUCCAACCACAACAUCAACUACAAC
Protopterus annectens (West African lungfish) is the source of this 115-nucleotide long non-coding RNA. RefSeq lists it as uncharacterized. The record is from RefSeq and is a predicted model, not a curated record. Lineage: Eukaryota; Metazoa; Chordata; Ceratodontiformes; Protopteridae. The transcript is spliced from 3 exons.